This 166-nucleotide small RNA is filed under the name Desulfoscipio gibsoniae. RNAcentral describes it as "Desulfotomaculum gibsoniae Magnesium sequence". It matches the Rfam family "M-box riboswitch aptamer (ykoK leader)". Rfam says of the family: M-box riboswitch, also know as ykoK leader is described as a metaloregulatory RNA that sense divalent metals and function as a genetic control element of genes related to divalent metal transport in bacteria. Lineage: Bacteria; Bacillati; Bacillota; Clostridia; Eubacteriales; Desulfallaceae. The record is from RNAcentral. RNAcentral also lists the same sequence under 1 other name.
AAUGUUCUUCGUUAGGUGAGGCUACUAUACAGACACAGGCCACUGCCCGGAAAUGUCGAGAGACAGUAACGGGUCAGCAGGUAUUACCGAAUUAAGGUUUUAUCUAAUGUGGCUGAGAAUACCUCUCUAGCUGUAUAGAGCCAAAACUGCACGAAUGAAGAAGGCG